AUUUAGAUAGCUUAAUAGAGCAUUACAUUGAAGCUGUAAAGGUGGCACUCCUUUAAAUA
RNAcentral lists this transfer RNA (59 nucleotides) under Gammarus pisinnus. RNAcentral's name for it is "tRNA-Phe". It matches the Rfam family "tRNA". Rfam says of the family: Transfer RNA (tRNA) molecules are approximately 80 nucleotides in length. Their secondary structure includes four short double-helical elements and three loops (D, anti-codon, and T loops). The record is from RNAcentral. Lineage: Eukaryota; Metazoa; Arthropoda; Malacostraca; Amphipoda; Gammaridae.